RNAcentral lists this small nuclear RNA (107 nucleotides) under Propithecus coquereli (Coquerel's sifaka). Lineage: Eukaryota; Metazoa; Chordata; Mammalia; Primates; Indriidae. The record is from RNAcentral.
GUGCUCACUUUGGCAGCACAUAUACUAUAAUUGGAACAAUACAGAGAAGAUUAGCAUGGCCCCCAAGCAAGUAUGACACAAAAAUUCAUGAAGCAUUCCAUAUUUUU